Molecule: ribosomal RNA, 458 nt
Filed under: uncultured bacterium
Lineage: Bacteria
Description: bacterial SSU rRNA
Rfam family: Bacterial small subunit ribosomal RNA
Source: RNAcentral
UACGGGAGGCAGCAGGGGGAAUAUUGCACAAUGGGCGAAAGCCUGAUGCAGCUAUGCCGCGUGUAUGAAGAAGGCCUUAGGGUUGUAAAGUACUUUCAUCGGGGAGGAAAAAACAAAACUAAUAAUUUUAUUUCUUGACGUUACCCGAAAAAGAAGCACCGGCUAACUCCGUGCCAGCAGCCGCGGUAAUACGGAGGGUGCUAGCGUUAAUCAGAAUUACUGGGCGUAAAGAGCACGUAGGUGGUUUUUUUAAAGUCAGAUGUGAAAUCCCUGGGCUUAACCUAGGAACUGCAUUUUUGAAACUGAAAUACUAGAGUAUCGUAGAGGGAGGUAGAAUUCUAGGUGUAGCGGUGAAAUGCGUAGAUAUCUGGAGGAAUACCUGUGGCGAAAGCGGCCUCCUAAACGAAUACUGACACUGAGGGUGCGAAAGCGUGGGGAGCAAACAGGGAUUAGAUACC